Long non-coding RNA from Acinonyx jubatus (cheetah), 2198 nucleotides. RefSeq lists it as uncharacterized. The record is from RefSeq and is a predicted model, not a curated record. The transcript has 4 exons. Lineage: Eukaryota; Metazoa; Chordata; Mammalia; Carnivora; Felidae.
GCUCUCAAUUCUCUUUGUCAGCCUCUGAGCAGGUAAGGGGGCUUCCAGUUUGUUCCUCGAUCCUGCCUUCUCCUGCCCCAUCCCUAACCUCUCCCCCUCUUCUCCUUUCCUCCACCAUAGGGGGCUGUGGUGUUGGGGGUGAGGAGAAGGCUUAUCAUAUUCAGAGCUGAGAAAUGGGCUGCAUUUCAAUCCCCCCUUCACAUUCCAUGUUCUUCAUUUAUGAAAAUAAUCACGCUUCUUGCACCCAGAGAUCUGUGCCUUCUUCCACCCUCAACUUGUUCUCUUGGCAUGGGGGCCGUAGGCCAGAUCACUGACAGGCUGGCCGGGUAUGUCCAUUGCAGUCUUGUACUUGGGACUUUGCCUCUGCUAAGCCUUUUUUUUUUUAAUGGCAGACUUGUUUCUAUGCAGCUGAGAUAGGAAACAAACAUACUCCAUAGUUGAGUGGUUAUCGCCUAUAUUCAUUAUUAUCUUUGUCAUUAUACGUGGUGAAUGAUGAUGAGCUAUGCAUUGUGGUGUGGGCACUUUUAUGUGUUUGCAAAUAAUAUAUAUCAUCCUGCAGUAGUUCAGAACAUAUUGUGAGCAACUUCCAAACUGUGCUUCAGUGCUGUGGCAUAUGCUGAGUAAAGAGCAAUUCAGAUUUGAUCUGGUCUUUUGGGAACUUGAAAUCUAAGAUAAGUACAUGUAAAUAGAGAGAGAUGGAAAUGUUAAACCAACAUUGGCACCCAAAAUGAAGCCUUUGGGGGAGGCGAUCUAAUUCACCGAGGGUCUACUGUAUGUCAGGAGGGGGUGUUGGGUGUGUUGUACCUGCCGUCUCAUUUCCCUCUGCCAAUAAGCUACAAGUUGGGGCUUACAGGUGAGGAAACCGUGAUGAAGAGAGGUUGCAUAGAUUGCCAGGGUCACAUGGCUAAUAAACUACAGAGUAGGUAAUGAACUAGAACAACAUGCCCUUUGGAAAUGUCAGGUUGCUGAGUCUGCUAUAUUCAGGACCUAGAAAAUCAUGGGGUUGUAGAGUUUGGGUGUGGGGAUGGGCUGAGAGAACCAGAGCGAAUGGCUGGGUAGAGGUGAGGAGAUAGGCUUUUAUUUCAUUCUAGAAUGAUGCAAUUUUGUAAAAACCAUGGACAACAUUUAGUGUAUUCUCCCUGUGUGCCAGGGGCUGACCUGUUACCUCUGCAUCCAGCAUCUCAUUUAAUCCUAACCUUUCUGAAGUAUCUGCUAUUAAGAGCCUCAUUGUAAGGAUGAGGAAACAAAGGCACUGAGGUGUUGCAUUCCUGGCUCAGGUCACACAGCGGCUGACUGACAGAGCCACAACUCCCAUGUGGGCUGGGCUGACUUCAGAGCUCCUUACAGGCAGGGCCAGACAGCCUCUCUUCAAUCUGCUUCCCCACCUGCUCCCAGCAAGGAGGGUGAGGCCCCAGGAUUGUGAGGUUCACCUCCUGAUCCCACCAGGGCUGAGAUGGAUUUCCAACCCCUGGACCUUUCCCCAGUGAGACCAUCCUGUUCUCUAGAUGCCCUCACUGAGCAUUUGUUCUGAAGUUCUGGUGUUUCCAGGCCUGGAGCAGGAGGAAUAAAGAGUCAGAGUAAUGAAGACCAUCUCCACCAAUCUCCAGCCUUCUCACCUUCCCCAGGCCUCUGGAUGUGUUUGCUGCCUGACUUAACACAUCUCUGAAGACAGCCCCAUGUUCAGAUGUCUGGGAGAGGUCACACCGAACACAAAUACACAUUAAGGUGUAAAUGACUGAUGUGAAGUUGUCCUUCGAGUGUGAGGGUGCGCUCAGAGCAGGGGCUGGGAGAGCAUGAGGUGUGGCUGGAACCGCGCAGGAGUAAGAGUGCCUGGCACAUCAUGGUUCAAAACAUGAGUCACCGUCAUCAUCGUCACCGUCAUCAUCGCCAUCCUCAGCAUCACCCUCAUCCAUAGCUUUGGGAGAGGAAUCUGGAGCAACAGCAGGAGGCAUCUGCGUACCUGAACCAUCAGCCACAGCAGUGCCAGGUUUAGCAAAUAAAAAUAUAAGCACAUUUACUCAUUAUUUAUCUGAAAUCCACAUUCCACUGAAUGUCCUGUAUUUUAUCUGGGAAGCCUCGUCAAUCAAGCCUCUCAGAAGCCAGGUCUAGAUCUCCUCCCCCAGCUUGAUCCUAACUAGGAUGGCCACGAGGGGAGGGGUCGGCAAGGAGCGGGGGAUGGGGAGGAGGCGGGGGCAGGA